Molecule: ribosomal RNA, 262 nt
Filed under: uncultured Enterobacterales bacterium
Lineage: Bacteria; Pseudomonadati; Pseudomonadota; Gammaproteobacteria; Enterobacterales
Description: partial 16S ribosomal RNA
Rfam family: Bacterial small subunit ribosomal RNA
Source: RNAcentral
UACGGAGGGUGCAAGCGUUAAUCGGAAUUACUGGGCGUAAAGCGCACGCAGGCGGUCUGUCAAGUCGGAUGUGAAAUCCCCGGGCUCAACCUGGGAACUGCAUUCGAAACUGGCAGGCUAGAGUCUUGUAGAGGGGGGUAGAAUUCCAGGUGUAGCGGUGAAAUGCGUAGAGAUCUGGAGGAAUACCGGUGGCGAAGGCGGCCCCUGGACAAAGACUGACGCUCAGGUGCGAAAGCGUGGGGAGCAAACAGGAUUAGAUACC